UCUGUCGAGCAUCAGUUGUAUGAAAAAUAACAGUUCCGGAAUUCGAUGUUGUGAAUAUUGUAUUUAUAAUCGACACAAAAGAGAAGAUUUUUAUCAAAUCUACAGGAAAAAAGAGACUCAUCAAAGUUUUUGUUUUGUAUCAUAUAUUCCAACACCAAAUCACACCAACUUACCUCCUCGGUUUUCGGCGACGACUCCUCCGAUCGGGCUACUACCGGCUUCGACUCUUCCGACUCAACUUCGGGAGUGUCGAUUUUCUUCACCUCCUCCUUUGGCGUCUCGACGAUCGUUUCCUUCGUCUCUACCGGUUUGGUCGCCGCCUCUCCUUCCGUGGGAAGAACAAUGCUCGGGGUUUCCUCGAUCGGCUUGGCAGCUUCGGGUUCAGCGGACUUGGCCUCCUUCAGUUUCUGCUCCA
Long non-coding RNA from Neodiprion virginianus, 415 nucleotides. RefSeq lists it as uncharacterized. NCBI's taxonomy places the organism in Eukaryota, Metazoa, Arthropoda, Insecta, Hymenoptera, Diprionidae. The record is from RefSeq and is a predicted model, not a curated record. The transcript has 2 exons.